This 93-nucleotide microRNA precursor is filed under the name Oryza sativa (Asian cultivated rice). RNAcentral's name for it is "miR1862e stem-loop (osa-MIR1862e)". It matches the Rfam family "MIR1862 microRNA precursor family". The record is from miRBase by way of RNAcentral. Lineage: Eukaryota; Viridiplantae; Streptophyta; Magnoliopsida; Poales; Poaceae.
UAUUUCCUUCAUCCCAAAAUGAAAAAAUCUAGUACAUUAUGUGUUUGACAUAUCCUGUACUAGAUUUGUUUAUUUUGGGACGGAGGGAGUAUC